CGUCCUAUUACUUGAGAUUUUAUCAUCGCAUCUUUUUAAAAUGAAAUAGUGAACUGUUUUACCUAAUUUUGGUUGAAACGGUUGCGUACAGCUUUCUCCUUUUGAUCCAACGUUUUGUAAAUCAGACGACAGGCGAACGAAGAAUUUGGCGAACUCACCGUCAUCUACUUUUGAUGAUCCAGGACUGGAGUUAUUCUAAAGAAUAAAAUAAAUUCCGAAAUCAAUACAUGUCAGAUGAAGCAUCAACACCAAACAAAUGACAAACACCUAGGCAAUCGGCCAAUAACGACGAAAGCUUAGAGCCUUUCGCAGUAUUUGGCUUUGUGUCUUUACUACAAGGCCCCACACAUCGCUGACAUGAUGUAAAAGAAACGCAAGCUGGUUUUCGGUCCAGGUCAUUUGCAGGUUUGGCCGUCAUUUGAUCACCAAUUGUAUUGUUAGUGACCAAUCGUUACAAUGAAUAAAAACCGGCUUCUGGAAAGCACCAACAGCAGAAUUUUCAUUGCCAAAAAAGAAAAAAAAAAUCUGUUUUUUUUUUUUUUUGUGCAUAACUCAACGAAUUGCAAAGGCGACAUUUUCCAGUUUUGGAGGUCAAAGUCUUAGUGUAGACUCUGUGACCAAAUAAAAUUGAAUUUUAAUUGGCACCGACUUUUUUUUUUGUUUUUUUUUUUUGUUUUCUAAGGAUUGUUUAAGAAAACAAGAAUACCGUGGCGAAAAAAAGGGCUCUUAUACACUAAACUUCAAUACUGGAGUCAAACAAAGGAUCUGAUAAAAAAAAAUCAUUGCAACUAUUUAACUAAAAAAACAAUUUCACCCUACACAAUGAGAAGACAGGUAGUUCACAGUUGACAACAGAGUGUUGUCAGUAACAGGAUCACAUAGACUGGGAACUUGUGAACUGGCUUCCUUUUAUUUGUUUAGCAUAUUCAAUUGUUUAACAACUUGUAAAGAUUGAUCCCUAUUCCUAGACAUACAUCUGCCAGAUCAGACUUGAAUGUACAGAGAUGGACUACUACUUGACUGAAUGACCUCUGAAAUCUAAAAAAAUAUUGCUGCAACAUACAGUAUACAGAAAAGAGAUGUGUCAACUACAAAUGAAGUAGGCAUUACCUAGGGAGCCAUGAUUCUGCAUUUUGAUUGUUUCAGCUACACGUGCCUGUAACGAGCACCUUCACCAUGAUCGUACGACAAAAUUAGUCAGGCUGCACAGUCUCCGUGAUCCCAACACGUUUCCAACUGAAUGCAUACACAUAAUUUAUACUUAAUGCAUCCAAAAUAAUAAAUAAUUUUCAAUCUA
Molecule: long non-coding RNA, 1297 nt
Organism: Daphnia magna
Lineage: Eukaryota; Metazoa; Arthropoda; Branchiopoda; Diplostraca; Daphniidae
Exons: 3
Source: RefSeq, a predicted model, not a curated record